RNAcentral lists this ribosomal RNA (397 nucleotides) under uncultured bacterium. RNAcentral's name for it is "partial 16S ribosomal RNA". It matches the Rfam family "Bacterial small subunit ribosomal RNA", at positions 523 to 918 of the family's 1533-position model. The record is from RNAcentral.
AUACGUAGGGGGCGAGCGUUGUCCGGAAUGAUUGGGCGUAAAGGGCGCGUAGGCGGCGCGGUAAGUCUGGAGUGAAAGUCCUGCUUUCAAGGUGGGAAUUGCUUUGGAUACUGCCGCGCUUGAGUGCAGGAGAGGUUAUCGGAAUUCCCGGUGUAGCGGUGAAAUGCGUAGAGAUCGGGAGGAACACCAGUGGCGAAGGCGGGUAACUGGACUGCAACUGACGCUGAGGCGCGAAAGGGUGGGGAGCAAACAGGAUUAGAUACCCUGGUAGUCCACACUGUAAACGAUGAAUGCUAGGUGUAAGAGGUAUCGACCCCUUUUGUGCCGGAGUCAACACAAUAAGCAUACCGCCUGGGGAGUACGGCCGCAAGGUUGAAACUCAAAGGAAUUGACGGGG